CAAUUACUAGAGGUAGUCUCUCCAGCUACUAAAGGGUCAUCACCGUCAUCUGUUCACUAGCGAAAACUGACCAAAAGAUGUCCAAGACACGUUGGAGUGCAAGGCUUUCUCAGUUAUCUCUUAAAGUGAAGAAAAAACCACAUAAGGAACACGGGGCCUUCAUUUCUCUUGGAAAACUGAUAUCCCUAUGGACUAAUGAUAUAAGUGUGUCUGGAAAAUAUGUGAGAUACCCUUUUAGAGAUGCAGAUGAUUAAUCACAAUUUUAACUUCUUAUAAUGAUGCUUGGCACAGGAUAAGCAAAUAGAAAUUAAAUGUAGAAACCAACAACACAUGUUCACUUAUUUAAUAUGGAACUCCCAUAUUCUUGAAUAUAAACUACCACAUUAAUGAGCAAAAGUAUAACAAAAUUGAAAGAACAUAAUCAGCUUUCUUUUAGGGUAGGAAGACAGCUAUUUAGGAUUCUUCCUCACUUAUCAAUUAAAAGAACCAUGAAACUAACAAGGAGACACAAAUAUGCAAAAUCACUGAUAAUCGCAGUCAACACUUUAUAUGUACCUGGAAGGGGGAAAAAACCUUUUUAGUUCUGUUGUGGUAGGGAUAAAUUAACUGUCUCUGUCUGACAUAUGUUUUGAAUUUUAAAACUAAAUAAAAUCAGUUAGAAAGCUAAUGGAAAGAUACAUAUGUCAACUUCUACUCUGUAUCCCUAUCAAAGAUUCGUGUGAUCUUUGCCUCUAAGUAAAGCAGCAUAGCAGCCACGGAUCUCACAUGGGAAAGUUCUUUCAGAUUAGAACAGAGAUAUCCCUUUCUCAUACCUCUACCUCACACUCUCUCAUCCCACAAAAUCUUAACUUUGGGAGGGACUUUAACAUGAAUAUUCAUGCUCUGAU
RNAcentral lists this long non-coding RNA (887 nucleotides) under Homo sapiens (human). Its description in RNAcentral is "HSALNT0179256". Lineage: Eukaryota; Metazoa; Chordata; Mammalia; Primates; Hominidae. The record is from RNAcentral.